GCUGACGUCACAUGAAAUGCCCGGAUCCAGACCCGGAAGUUCCCCAGAAGCAGAGUACGUCAUCCCAGCGCCGGAGCCCGGCCCCGGGACAGCACUCAGCGCAGUUCCAGCUUCGCCACAGCUACAACCAAGGGAUUCACAGCCACAACCAACCACGCAGCAGAAGGAAACACAAGAUCUCCAUAGAGAGACCCACAGUCUUCACCUGACGCCAGGUCCAGCACCACUCCUAUCAAACACAAUCACAACACGUGUGAGCUUCAGAGUACAAACCCUGAUGAAAAAUGCAAACUUGUCUACUUUAACUCACAGUUUAGGCUCCUGUGUUCUUUCCCUAAUUCACCUGUUCCUGAGAACCUCAGCCAAGAGAGUCUCCUCCGUCUUUUUGCCACAACCUGUGACGCCUUGAUCUGCAGAGCUUGGAGAGGACUGGUGCUCUGAAGGUUCUGCAGUGGGAUCGCCUUUCCCCUGCAGUUCCCCACUCCUGGUGCCUGCCUGCGCUGGAGUGGCACCGUAGAGCAAGCCCAGAGCGGCGAGCAGCGUCAACGUAUUAUUGAAAAACAAAAGGGAGGAAUGUGUGGUGAGACCCCACAGAGCAAGGUAGCUAUGGCUAUUCAUACACUAAAUCAUUUGGCAAUAUCAGAAGGGUCCCAUCCCAGAACCCAGUCAUUUUAAAUCACUUUCUGUCAUUACAAUCUCUUGGAGAUAAACUGUUGCCUAUGCCCAAGGUAACGGUGAAAGACUAUGGAUUCUGAGGCAGAGGGAGCAUAGAGCCUGUGUGAAACUAAGUCACACAAGGUUCUCACUCUGGCCUGAGAAAGCAUAAGGAGGAAUCCAAACAGUCCUUGGAGAAAGACACCAACCUUUGCAGGUGUUGUUUGGAUCCUUGUUGUUUACUUGCAAGAAUCAGUCAAAGGAUGUAGUAACCAGUUGUCCAAUAAUGGUGAUGUGUUGGUUUAAUGACCAAUGAGAGUUUUACCUCUUGGACCUUCUCAGAACUGUCUAUAAAAGAAGAUCUGGAUUAAUACCAGAAAAACCUUGAAAAACCUUGCUCUCCUGUACAACCCACAGGAGAGUCUGUGUCGUACUGCUUCACCUUUCCUAAUAUAGUGCGACAAAAGAUCUUCUCACUAAUAAGUGGGGAGGCACAUGGAGUCUCAUUACUUGGGGAAGGGGAUGUGCCCGUGUCUCCAUGGACACUGGAACACAAUGGGUACCUGCCAGAUAUGUCUGUCCUGCUUUAUGUCCUGCUCGAGACCACAAACACCCUCUGACAGUACCUGAACGGAUGUGAUAGAACAAAAUUAAGAAGAGUAACCAGAACAACCCAUUCACCUACCUCAUGAAAAUCAGAGACUCUUGAAAAGACAGUUCAUUUAAAAACUGUUUAUUUACAAAUUGUUUUUCUGUUAAGUUGGGUUUUUAUCACAGUUCUAAAUGUUGAAUGUUUUUUUGUUUCUUGCUUAUAGAGUUAAGGUAUAAUCUCAGUUCAAAAUAGUUUCUUGUUUUUUAAUGUUAAAUUGUAACUUGUAACUAUAAGUAGUUAACUUCAGGCAUCUUAACUUGAAGGAUUGUGAUCUUGACUGCCAGCUCCUGGAAGUUAGUAUUGCAAACUCAGUUUAGUACACAAAGCACAUUGCUAGCCAAGGAGAAUUAAGUUUAUCAAAUCAAUUGGAAAACUUCAUUCAAAUUAAACCUAUGCUGUCCCUGUUAUCCUCUUCAAAUGGUCCUUGCAGAUAGGAUAACAGAUAGCAUUUUACAUUUUUUAAUUUAACCGAAAAGGGUGAAUUGUCACAGUAUUAUCAUAGUACAGUUGGCCUGGACUGGACAAAGUAAAUCUGACUAUAACACAAAUCCAACUCAGCCUAGUUCAUGUCUGAACAAACAUGUCCCUGGAUGAGUUAUAGGGGACCCUCAGCCAGCCCCAUCCAAGCUGAGAAGUAAGCACACCACUGGCCAGGAAGCUGGACAGGGAGAGAGAUAUCAGCCAAUGGCUGAAUAGCCCGGGAAAUUUGAAUCGGGUAUUUAAGCGAGUUCUGAAUAAUAAACAAGGCUGGUAUGUCUCAUGAGCA
Molecule: long non-coding RNA, 2072 nt
Organism: Parus major (Great Tit)
Lineage: Eukaryota; Metazoa; Chordata; Aves; Passeriformes; Paridae
Exons: 2
Source: RefSeq, a predicted model, not a curated record